UAGAAUAUAGUUUAAUAAGAAUUGAAGCUUUGGGAGUUUCAGGUGCCUUCUUGGGUUAUUCUAA
Molecule: transfer RNA, 64 nt
Filed under: Lyrodus sp. FL G0
Lineage: Eukaryota; Metazoa; Mollusca; Bivalvia; Myida; Teredinidae
Description: tRNA-Pro
Source: RNAcentral